UUGCACGCUGGCGGCAUGCUUUACACAUGCCAGUCGAACGGUAACAGGCCUUCGGGUGCUGACGAGUGGCGAACGGGUGAGUAAUGCAUCGGAACGUACCCGGAGGUGGGGGAUAACGCAGCGAAAGCUGUGCUAAUACCGCAUGUGAUCUGAGGAUGAAAGCGGGGGACCGAGCAGCAAUGUUUGGCCUCGCGCCUUUGGAGCGGCCGAUGUCGGAUUAGCUAGUUGGUGGGGUAAAGGCCUACCAAGGCGACGAUCCGUAGCUGGUCUGAGAGGACGACCAGCCACACUGGGACUGAGACACGGCCCAGACUCCUACGGGAGGCAGCAGUGGGGAAUUUUGGACAAUGGGCGCAAGCCUGAUCCAGCAAUGCCGCGUGCGGGAAGAAGGCCUUCGGGUUGUAAACCGCUUUUGGCAGGAACGAAACGGUGUCCGCUAAUACCGGGCGCUAAUGACGGUACCUGCAGAAUAAGCACCGGCUAACUACGUG
This 491-nucleotide ribosomal RNA is filed under the name uncultured bacterium. RNAcentral's name for it is "partial 16S ribosomal RNA". It matches the Rfam family "Bacterial small subunit ribosomal RNA", at positions 29 to 507 of the family's 1533-position model. The record is from RNAcentral.